UACGUAGGGUGCGAGCGUUGUCCGGAAUUAUUGGGCGUAAAGGGCUCGUAGGCGGUUUGUCGCGUCGGGAGUGAAAUCCACUGGCUUAACUGGUGGCUUGCUUUCGAUACGGGCAGACUGGAGGUGUGCAGGGGAGAACGGAAUUCCUGGUGUAGCGGUGAAAUGCGCAGAUAUCAGGAGGAACACCGGUGGCGAAGGCGGGUCUCUGGGCCGAUACUGACGCUGAGGAGCGAAAGCGUGGGGAGCGAACAGG
Molecule: ribosomal RNA, 253 nt
Filed under: uncultured bacterium
Lineage: Bacteria
Description: partial 16S ribosomal RNA
Rfam family: Bacterial small subunit ribosomal RNA
Source: RNAcentral